ACAGCCUAUAAAAUAAUUGAUAUUUACGCUGAUUUACAAUUCUAUCCGUCUGAUCAAACUCACGAAGGUAGUGAACCUACCUCCGCUGAAUUGGACAUUUUGUCAUUUUUAUGGUUUACUGGGAAUAAAGUUUAUUUAAGAGAUAUCUCCCAGAGAUUUGGAGCAUGCCCUGCAACUGCGGUAAGACAGCAUAACCGAGAAUUUUUUAAUUAACUUGGCUCCGAAUGUAAUCAAAUUUGAUGAAAAGGAACAUACUGCAAACGAGUUCUUCGAAAUUGCAGGUUUUCCUCAGGUACUUGGCCACGUUGAUUAUACAUCAAUCAAAGUACGUAUUCUACAACAUAAAAUUAAAUCGAUCUAUGUAAACACGAUAUUCCAUCAACAGCACUAUAAG
This is a long non-coding RNA of Trachymyrmex septentrionalis, 394 nucleotides long. RefSeq lists it as uncharacterized. The record is from RefSeq and is a predicted model, not a curated record. The transcript is spliced from 3 exons. NCBI's taxonomy places the organism in Eukaryota, Metazoa, Arthropoda, Insecta, Hymenoptera, Formicidae.